GAAGCAACAAAUGCCCUGCUUCCAGGAAAAGCCUCUAAGCAUCAGGUAACACGAAAUCGUACCCCAAACCGACACAGGUGGUCAGGUAGAGAAUACCAAGGCGCUUGAGAGAACUCGGGUGAAGGAACUAGGCAAAAUGGUGCCGUAACUUCGGGAGAAGGCACGCUGACACGUAGGUGAAGUGAUUUACUCAUGGAGCUGAAGUCAGUCGAAGAUACCAGCUGGCUGCAACUGUUUAUUAAAAACACAGCACUGUGCAAACACGAAAGUGGACGUAUACGGUGUGACGCCUGCCCGGUGCCGGAAGGUUAAUUGAUGGGGUCAGCGUAAGCGAAGCUCCUGAUCGAAGCCCCGGUAAACGGCGGCCGUAACUAUAACGGUCCUAAGGUAGCGAAAUUCCUUGUCGGGUAAGUUCCGACCUGCACGAAUGGCGUAAUGAUGGCCAGGCUGUCUCCACCCGAGACUCAGUGAAAUUGAACUCGCUGUGAAGAUGCAGUGUACCCGCGGCAAGACGGAAAGACCCCGUGAACCUUUACUAUAGCUUGACACUGAACAUUGAGCCUUGAUGUGUAGGAUAGGUGGGAGGCUUUGAAGUGUGGACGCCAGUCUGCAUGGAGCCGACCUUGAAAUACCACCCUUUAAUGUUUGAUGUUCUAACGUGGACCCGUAAUCCGGGUUGCGGACAGUGUCUGGUGGGUAGUUUGACUGGGGCGGUCUCCUCCUAAAGAGUAACGGAGGAGCACGAAGGUUGGCUAAUCCUGGUCGGACAUCAGGAGGUUAGUGCAAUGGCAUAAGCCAGCUUGACUGCGAGCGUGACGGCGCGAGCAGGUGCGAAAGCAGGUCAUAGUGAUCCGGUGGUUCUGAAUGGAAGGGCCAUCGCUCAACGGAUAAAAGGUACUCCGGGGAUAACAGGCUGAUACCGCCCAAGAGUUCAUAUCGACGGCGGUGUUUGGCACCUCGAUGUCGGCUCAUCACAUCCUGGGGCUGAAGUAGGUCCCAAGGGUAUGGCUGUUCGCCAUUUAAAGUGGUACGCGAGCUGGGUUUAGAACGUCGUGAGACAGUUCGGUCCCUAUCUGCCGUGGGCGCUGGAGAACUGAGGGGGGCUGCUCCUAGUACGAGAGGACCGGAGUGGACGCAUCACUGGUGUUCGGGUUGUCAUGCCAAUGGCACUGCCCGGUAGCUAAAUGCGGAAGAGAUAAGUGCUGAAAGCAUCUAAGCACGAAACUUGCCCCGAGAUGAGUUCUCCCUGAGACUUAGAGUCUCCUGAAGGAACGUUGAAGACGACGACGUUGAUAGGCCGGGUGUGUAAGCGCAGCGAUGCGUUGAGCUAACCGGUACUAAUGAACCGUGAGGCUUAACCUU
Molecule: ribosomal RNA, 1362 nt
Filed under: Salmonella enterica
Lineage: Bacteria; Pseudomonadati; Pseudomonadota; Gammaproteobacteria; Enterobacterales; Enterobacteriaceae
Description: partial 23S ribosomal RNA
Rfam family: Bacterial large subunit ribosomal RNA
Source: RNAcentral